AAAAAAGGUAAGCUACUAAGAGCGAAUGGUGGAUGCCUUGACUGGUAAAGGCGAUGAAGGACGUACUAGACUGCGAUAAGCUACGGGGAGCUGUCAAGAAGCUUUGAUCCGUAGAUUUCCGAAUGGGGCAACCCAAUGUAUAGAGAUAUACAUUACCUAUAUAGGAGCGAACGAGGGGAAUUGAAACAUCUUAGUACCCUCAGGAAAAGAAAUCAAUAGAGAUUGCGUCAGUAGCGGCGAGCGAAAGCGCAAGAGGGCAAACCCAGUGCUUGCACUGGGGGUUGUAGGACUGCAAUGUGCAAGAGGUGAGUUUAGCAGAACAUUCUGGAAAGUAUAGCCAUAGAGGGUGAUAGUCCCGUAUGCGAAAAACAAACCUUAGCUAGCAGUAUCCUGAGUAGGGCGGGACACGAGAAAUCCUGUCUGAAGCUGGGUCGACCACGAUCCAACCCUAAAUACUAAUACCAGAUCGAUAGUGCACAAGUACCGUGAGGGAAAGGUGAAAAGAACUGAGGUGAUCAGAGUGAAAUAGAACCUGAAACCAUUUGCUUACAAUCAUUCAGAGCACUAUGUAGCAAUACAGUGUGAUGGACUGCCUUUUGCAUAAUGAGCCUGCGAGUUGUGGUGUCUGGCAAGGUUAAGCAAACGCGAAGCCGUAGCGAAAGCGAGUCUGAAUAGGGCGCUUAGUCAGAUGCUGCAGACCCGAAACGAAGUGAUCUAUCCAUGAGCAAGUUGAAGCUAGUGUAAGAACUAGUGGAGGACUGAACCCAUAGGCGUUGAAAAGCCCCGGGAUGACUUGUGGAUAGGGGUGAAAGGCCAAUCAAACUUCGUGAUAGCUGGUUCUCUCCGAAAUAUAUUUAGGUAUAGCGUUGUGUCGUAAUAUAAGGGGGUAGAGCACUGAAUGGGCUAGGGCAUACACCAAUGUACCAAACCCUAUCAAACUCCGAAUACCUUAUAUGUAAUCACAGCAGUCAGGCGGCGAGUGAUAAAAUCCGUCGUCAAGAGGGAAACAACCCAGACUACCAGCUAAGGUCCCUAAAUCUUACUUAAGUGGAAAACGAUGUGAAGUUACUUAAACAACCAGGAGGUUGGCUUAGAAGCAGCCAUCCUUUAAAGAAAGCGUAAUAGCUCACUGGUCUAGUGAUUUUGCGCGGAAAAUAUAACGGGGCUAAAGUAAGUACCGAAGCUGUAGACUUGACUUUGUCAAGUGGUAGGAGAGCGUUCUAUUUGCGUCGAAGGUAUACCGGUAAGGAGUGCUGGAGCGAAUAGAAGUGAGCAUGCAGGCAUGAGUAGCGAUAAUUAAUGUGAGAAUCAUUAACGCCGUAAACCCAAGGUUUCCUACGCGAUGCUCGUCAUCGUAGGGUUAGUCGGGUCCUAAGUCGAGUCCGAAAGGGGUAGACGAUGGCAAAUUGGUUAAUAUUCCAAUACCAACAUUAGUGUGCGAUGGAAGGACGCUUAGGGCUAAGGGGGCUAGCGGAUGGAAGUGCUAGUCUAAGGUCGUAGGUGCUUAUACAGGCAAAUCCGUAUAAGAAUACACCGAGAACUGAAAGGCUUUUUGAAGUCUUCGGAUGGAUAGAAGAACCCCUGAUGCCGUCGAGCCAAGAAAAGUUUCUAAGUUUAGCUAAUGUUGCCCGUACCGUAAACCGACACAGGUGGGUGGGAUGAGUAUUCUAAGGCGCGUGGAAGAACUCUCUUUAAGGAACUCUGCAAAAUAGCACCGUAUCUUCGGUAUAAGGUGUGGUUCGCUUCGUAUUAGGAUUUACUCCGAAAGCGAAGAAACUUACAACAAAGAGUCCCUCCCGACUGUUUACCAAAAACACAGCACUCUGCUAACUCGUAAGAGGAUGUAUAGGGUGUGACGCCUGCCCGGUGCUCGAAGGUUAAUUGAUGGGGUUAGCAUUAGCGAAGCUCUUGAUCGAAGCCCGAGUAAACGGCGGCCGUAACUAUAACGGUCCUAAGGUAGCGAAAUUCCUUGUCGGUUAAAUACCGACCUGCAUGAAUGGCGUAACGAGAUGGGAGCUGUCUCAAAGAGGGAUCCAGUGAAAUUGUAGUGGAGGUGAAAAUUCCUCCUACCCGCGGCAAGACGGAAAGACCCCGUGGACCUUUACUACAGCUUGACACUGCUAUUUGGAUAAGAAUGUGCAGGAUAGGUGGGAGGCUUUGAGUAUAUGACGCUAGUUGUAUAUGAGCCAUUGUUGAGAUACCACUCUUUCUUAUUUGGGUAGCUAACCAGCUUGAGUUAUCCUCAAGUGGGACAAUGUCUGGUGGGUAGUUUGACUGGGGCGGUCGCCUCCCAAAUAAUAACGGAGGCUUACAAAGGUUGGCUCAGAACGGUUGGAAAUCGUUCGUAGAGUAUAAAGGUAUAAGCCAGCUUAACUGCAAGACAUACAAGUCAAGCAGAGACGAAAGUCGGUCUUAGUGAUCCGGUGGUUCUGUGUGGAAGGGCCAUCGCUCAAAGGAUAAAAGGUACCCCGGGGAUAACAGGCUGAUCUCCCCCAAGAGCUCACAUCGACGGGGAGGUUUGGCACCUCGAUGUCGGCUCAUCGCAUCCUGGGGCUGGAGCAGGUCCCAAGGGUAUGGCUGUUCGCCAUUUAAAGCGGUACGCGAGCUGGGUUCAGAACGUCGUGAGACAGUUCGGUCCCUAUCUGCCGUGGGCGUAAGAAGAUUGAAGAGAUUUGACCCUAGUACGAGAGGACCGGGUUGAACAAACCACUGGUGUAGCUGUUGUUCUGCCAAGAGCAUCGCAGCGUAGCUAAGUUUGGAAAGGAUAAACGCUGAAAGCAUCUAAGCGUGAAGCCAACUCUAAGAUGAAUCUUCUCUAAGCUCUCUAGAAGACUACUAGUUUGAUAGGCUGGGUGUGUAAUGGAUGAAAGUCCUUUAGCUGACCAGUACUAAUAGAGCGUUUGGCUUAUCUUUAAUAAAGCAU
This 2923-nucleotide ribosomal RNA is filed under the name Campylobacter coli. Its description in RNAcentral is "23S ribosomal RNA". It matches the Rfam family "Bacterial large subunit ribosomal RNA". Lineage: Bacteria; Pseudomonadati; Campylobacterota; Epsilonproteobacteria; Campylobacterales; Campylobacteraceae. The record is from RNAcentral.